RNAcentral lists this ribosomal RNA (768 nucleotides) under uncultured Kingella sp. RNAcentral describes it as "bacterial SSU rRNA". It matches the Rfam family "Bacterial small subunit ribosomal RNA", at positions 80 to 844 of the family's 1533-position model. Lineage: Bacteria; Pseudomonadati; Pseudomonadota; Betaproteobacteria; Neisseriales; Neisseriaceae. The record is from RNAcentral.
UGCACCUGCCGGCGAGUGGCGAACGGGUGAGUAACAUAUUGGAAUGUACCGAGUAGUGGGGGAUAACCAAUCGAAAGAUUGGCUAAUACCGCAUACGUCCUGAGGGGGAAAGCAGGGGAUCUUCGGACCUUGCGCUAUUUGAGCAGCCAAUAUCUGAUUAGCUAGUUGGUGGGGUAAGGGCCUACCAAGGCGACGAUCAGUAGCGGGUCUGAGAGGAUGAUCCGCCACACUGGGACUGAGACACGGCCCAGACUCCUACGGGAGGCAGCAGUGGGGAAUUUUGGACAAUGGGGGCAACCCUGAUCCAGCCAUGCCGCGUGUCUGAAGAAGGCCUUCGGGUUGUAAAGGACUUUUGUUAGGGAAGAAAAGGGAAGUGCUAAUACCACUUUUUGCUGACGGUACCUAAAGAAUAAGCACCGGCUAACUACGUGCCAGCAGCCGCGGUAAUACGUAGGGUGCGAGCGUUAAUCGGAAUUACUGGGCGUAAAGCGAGCGCAGACGGUUACUUAAGCAGGAUGUGAAAUCCCCGGGCUCAACCUGGGAACUGCGUUCUGAACUGGGUAGCUAGAGUAUGUCAGAGGGGGGUAGAAUUCCACGUGUAGCAGUGAAAUGCGUAGAGAUGUGGAGGAAUACCGAUGGCGAAGGCAGCCCCCUGGGAUAAUACUGACGUUCAUGCUCGAAAGCGUGGGUAGCAAACAGGAUUAGAUACCCUGGUAGUCCACGCCCUAAACGAUGUCGAUUAGCUGUUGGGCAACUUGAUUGCUUAGU